RNAcentral lists this ribosomal RNA (459 nucleotides) under uncultured bacterium. RNAcentral's name for it is "partial 16S ribosomal RNA". It matches the Rfam family "Bacterial small subunit ribosomal RNA", at positions 338 to 795 of the family's 1533-position model. The record is from RNAcentral.
CCUACGGGUGGCAGCAGUGAGGAAUAUUGGUCAAUGGGCGGAAGCCUGAACCAGCCAAGUCGCGUGAGGGAAUAAUGCCCUACGGGUCGUAAACCUCUUUUGCCGGGGCGCAAGGGCCGGGACGCGUCCCGUCCCGGAGAGUACCCGGAGAAAAAGCAUCGGGUAACUCCGUGCCAGCAGCCGCGGUAAUACGGAGGAUGCGAGCGUUAACCGGAUUUAUUGGGUUUAAAGGGUGCGUAGGCGGUCUUUUAAGUCAGCGGUAAAAAUUCGGGGCUCAACCCAGUCCGGCCGUUGAAACUGGGGGCCUUGAGUGGGCGAGAAGAAGGCGGAAUGCGUGGUGUAGCGGUGAAAUGCAUAGAUAUCACGCAGAACCCCGAUUGCGAAGGCAGCCUUCCGGCGCCCUACUGACGCUGAGGCACGAAAGUGCGGGGAUCGAACAGGAUUAGAUACCCGGGUAUC